RNAcentral lists this ribosomal RNA (253 nucleotides) under uncultured bacterium. RNAcentral's name for it is "partial 16S ribosomal RNA". It matches the Rfam family "Bacterial small subunit ribosomal RNA", at positions 524 to 776 of the family's 1533-position model. The record is from RNAcentral.
UACAGAGGUCCCAAGCGUUGUUCGGAUUCACUGGGCGUAAAGGGUGCGUAGGCGGUCGGGUAAGUCUGGCGUGAAAUCUCCAAGCCUAACUUGGAAACUGCGUUGGAUACUAUCCGGCUCGAGGAACGGAGGGGAGACUGGAAUACUUGGUGUAGCAGUGAAAUGCGUAGAUAUCAAGUGGAACACCAGUGGCGAAGGCGAGUCUCUGGACAUUUCCUGACGCUGAGGCACGAAAGCCAGGGGAGCAAACGGG